RNAcentral lists this ribosomal RNA (464 nucleotides) under uncultured bacterium. RNAcentral describes it as "partial 16S ribosomal RNA". It matches the Rfam family "Bacterial small subunit ribosomal RNA", at positions 29 to 507 of the family's 1533-position model. The record is from RNAcentral.
ACGAACGCUGGCGGCGUGCUUAACACAUGCAAGUCGAACGGAAAGGCCCUGCUUGCAGGGUACUCGAGUGGCGAACGGGUGAGUAACACGUGGGUGAUCUGCCCUGCACUUCGGGAUAAGCCUGGGAAACUGGGUCUAAUACCGGAUAGGAGCCAUUUUUAGUGUGAUGGUUGGAAAGUUUUUUCGGUGUAGGAUGAGCUCGCGGCCUAUCAGCUUGUUGGUGGGGUAAUGGCCUACCAAGGCGGCGACGGGUAGCCGGCCUGAGAGGGUGGACGGCCACCUUGGGACCGAGGUACGGCACAGGCGCCUACUGGAGGCAGCAGUGGGGAAUAUUGCACAAUGGGUGCAAGCCUGAUGCAGCAGCGCUGCGUGGGGGAUGACGGCCUUCGGGUGGUAAACGCCUUUCGCGAGGGACGAAGCUUGUUGUGACGGUACCUAGAUAAGAAGCACCGGCUAACUACGUG